Long non-coding RNA from Sapajus apella (tufted capuchin), 273 nucleotides. RefSeq lists it as uncharacterized. The record is from RefSeq and is a predicted model, not a curated record. The transcript has 2 exons. NCBI's taxonomy places the organism in Eukaryota, Metazoa, Chordata, Mammalia, Primates, Cebidae.
AAUGGGAAAGCAGGUAGUGGAAAGUCUCACAGUCUUAGUGCUACUUGAAGAGGUUAUUAUGGACUCUAUCCUUAGAAACUUGAAGUCCUGUUACAUAUUACUUAACAACAGGGACACAUUCCGAAAAAUGCAUCAUUAGGCGACUUUCUCCAGCCUGUUGCCCCUGGGCUACAAAUCUAUAUAACAUGUUACCUACACUGAAUGCUGUAGGCAGUUGGAACACAAUGGCAAGUAUUUGUUUAUUUAAACAUAGAAAAGGUACAGCAAAAAUAU